AAUGAACGCUGGCGGCAGGCCUAAAACAUGCAAGUCGAACGCUCUAGCAAUAGAGAGUGGCGCACGGGUGAGUAACAUGUGGGAAUAUGCCUUUUGGUACGGAACAACGUUUGGAAACGAACGCUAAUACCGUAUGGUCCCUUCGGGUAAAGAUUUAUCGCCAAAAGAUUAGCCCGCACUGGAUUAGCUAGUUGGUAAGGUAAUGGCUUACCAAGGCGACGAUCCAUAGCUGGUCUGAGAGGACGAUCAGCCACACUGGGACUGAGACACGGCCCAGACUCCUACGGGAGGCAGCAGUUAGGAAUAUUGGACAAUGGGCGCAAGCCUGAUCCAGCCAUGCCGCGUGAGUGAUGAAGGCCUU
RNAcentral lists this ribosomal RNA (361 nucleotides) under uncultured bacterium. RNAcentral's name for it is "bacterial SSU rRNA". It matches the Rfam family "Bacterial small subunit ribosomal RNA", at positions 29 to 418 of the family's 1533-position model. The record is from RNAcentral.